Long non-coding RNA from Quercus robur (English oak), 2867 nucleotides. RefSeq lists it as uncharacterized. The transcript is spliced from 2 exons. The record is from RefSeq and is a predicted model, not a curated record. Lineage: Eukaryota; Viridiplantae; Streptophyta; Magnoliopsida; Fagales; Fagaceae.
AUCAUAUGAUCUAGCUAUUCUUCACUAUGUUUUUUUUUCAGGGGAUUUCAUUUAUUUGAUAAAAAAACUUCUUCUAAAUCUAUGCUGUGGUUUUGUCUGAUUGAAUCACAGAUCUUCUUUGAUCAGAUGCACAAUGCUAUUUUAAGGUCUCAUAAAUAAAUAACUUUGUAGCUUAGAGUGAAACACUGCCAAUUAUGUCAUGUGUUGCAUAGGAUGUCAAUAUAGUGACUCUAAUAAUGAAUCCUGCUAAUUCAUUGAAAUGACUUCAUAGCUUUUUUUUUUUUUUUUUUUUUUUUUUUUUUUGAGAAACGACUUCAUAGCUUAAUAAUGGACAAAGUUGAUAAUGUUAUUUAUAAAUAUAGUUUGUCAAGUUCAUUAGUUUGAACUUUCAUCAACCACCUAGGGCUAUAAAUGAACCAACCUGUUUACUAACAGCUCUGGCUCAGCUCAAAAUUUUUUUUUUUCCCUCUGUCUAUCGAAAAAAAUGUUACUUUAUUUGGCGAAUGAGCCAAGCUCGAGCAUAAGUUUAAGCUCAGCUAUUAAACAAGCCAUCCUCAAAUGUAAUAAUGUGUUUGUGAACAAGCUUGUGAACAUAGCUACCAUGAAAUCUCCUUUGAAGUCGAACAAUGAUACCAGUACAAUACCGGAAUAUUGAUCAUGUUCAUAUAAAGCACCAUCAAUGUUUACCUUUUACCAAUCCAAGGGAGGGGGCUUCCAAGAACAUCCCUGAUUGAUACUGAAAGGUUGGGCCUGCGUUAUCAUAGGACAUAAUCCACACAAUAACACUUUCACUUCACUAUGUAUCUGCAGUGGUAAACCACUUCCAUCCUCAUGAACUAUGCUGUUCAUGUUUUUCCACGGUGCCCUAGCUAUACAUAAGAAAGAUCCCACUGCCUCUGAAUUGAAGAAUUUGAAUUCAUAAUCUGCACAGCAAGGUCAGUAAAAUCCUCCAUCUGGCCAUCCAAUAGCGACAGAUUCCCUAUAUUCCAUACAGCUUCUGCAAUUGGGCAGCAACUUCACAGCCUCUAAACAAGUGUUCUAUGGUUUCAUAAUGUUUAUUACACAACUUGCACAAAGGAUUAAGGAUUAAACCUCUUGAACCCAGCACGUGAGCCGUGGGUAGACUAUCAUGGAGACAAAGCCAUAUAAGAAAUUGAAUCCUUGGGAGUGUUUCAGACUUCCAAACCCAUUUAAAUGACAAAGUUUCCAGGUUCAGGGGGUUUAACUUUGUUCUUGAUAAGGUCCAAAGUAAGCUAGCUGGGUGGAAGUCUAGAUUGCUGUCUAAAGUAGGAAGAUUAGUGCUUGCCAAAUCUGUUGUUGCCCCCAUUGCAGAGUAUUACAUGUAGUGCCACAACCUCCCAGCUAAAGUGUGUGAUUCCUUUGAUAAAAUGAUGAGGGAUUUCAUCUGGGGGUCAACUGAGGAAAGAAGAAGAAUGCAUAUGGUUAGGUGGAGUACUGUUACACUGCCCAAAGAGUUGGGAGGUUUGGGGCUUUAUUCAAUGAAGCAUAGGAAUGAAGUCAUUCUAGCCAAACUUUGUUGGAGGCUUGCUCAUGAGGAAGGGAAGCCUUGGGCAAAUAUGUUGUUAGCAAAAUACCUCUGCCCCAGUAGAUUGACUGAAGAAGGAAGAAAAUUGCCCUGCUCUCGGAUUUGGGUAGCUUGCUAAAAGGGAGGGCCGAUCUAUGUUAAAGGCUUGAGAUGGACUGUUAGGAAUGGUGAUUCUGUGAAUAUGUGGAUGGAUUUUUGGUUACCUAAUGGGAGAUUAAGGGAGCUUAUUGUUGGUCCCCUGAACUGUGGAGAAGAAGUGUUGACCGUUAGACAAUGUUUUGAUGAAAACCAUGGUUGGCUGCCUUCAAGCAUCUCCUUUGAGCUCCCAGCAAGUGUGCUUGGCACCAUUAAGGCCACACCCUUCUCUUAUAUUCCUCAAGCUAAUGAUAGUCUAAUGUGGGCCUAUUCCAAAAAUGGCUCUUUCACUAUACAAGCUGCUUACCUCAGUACACAAUUAUUACUUCACAUUUCAUGGUACCCACUUUCUUUAAUUAAAACAUAAAAAUUGUGAAAUGAUGUUUUUAAAACAUAAUUUCACAGUUUUAAUUGAAAUUGAAAUAUAAUUUCAAAACAAGGAAUGCACGAUAUAUAUUUUCAAAAUUUGAAAAGCAAGAAAUCAUGGGUUCACUUUUUUUUUUUUUUUUUACUCCAACAAAACCAAAAUGGUUUUGGCAUAAACCCCAUGAAAUUUCUCUCUCUCUCUCUCUCUCUCUCUCGAUCAGAGAGAAAUUCGAACCCUAGAUUUCUCUCUCAAUUAGAGAGAAAUUUCAUGGCAUAAAUAAACCCCAUGAAAUUUCUCUCUCUCAACAAAACCAAAACGGUUUUGGUACGUUUGGAGGGAGAGAGGACUUGGACUUUGCUUUUGAUGAUUGCAUUUCUGCCUUUUUCUGCUAGACCAGGAAGGAAGCACUUUUUAGCGUUGAAGAAAGAUAUUGGGUAUUCUCUCUACUACACAUUUGCUUUUACUUGUAUAUGGUUAUCAACUACUAUGGACUGAAGUUCACUCACCGCUUCUAUAACUUACCAAUAAAAACAUGGCUGUUGUACAUUUUUCGCUUUGAAAUAUACGAGGCAUCAAACAUAUUUGGGGUUUGGGUUUCAAAUUUGCAUCAUAGUGGUUGUUGUAGUUUGUUUGGGGUUAUGGUUUCAAUCUUUGUUAAAUAUGCAUAUUUAUUGCAUGCCUUUUUUCAUGUUUGAGAUAGGGCUUUUAAAGUUUAAACUGUAACUUUUGUAUUAGGUUCAUCUCCAUUUGAAAUGGGUUUAUUUCGUGGUUUUUAUUAAAUAUUACGAAUCUAAAGAUGUAACGAGUGCCAUUCCAUAA